Molecule: long non-coding RNA, 314 nt
Organism: Photinus pyralis (common eastern firefly)
Lineage: Eukaryota; Metazoa; Arthropoda; Insecta; Coleoptera; Lampyridae
Exons: 2
Source: RefSeq, a predicted model, not a curated record
CGUUAUCCCACGUUAAUAUUGUUUGAACAGGUAUAUAAACUGACUUUUCCGUUCAACUUCACAAACCACACGUCCAAGAUGUACUUCAAACUGUUGGCACUCUUCGCACUCUUCGCUUUGGCGUUUGCCGCUCCAGCACCAAACCCCGAUACCAUAUUUAUUGAACAGCCGGCACUGAGAUCGGUCGUCGUCGAACAACCACUAACUCUGAUGGACACUUUUUGGUCACCGACUGUUUUCUUAAUUUAACCUGCAGCUGUAUCCGUACCAAAUUUGUAACCGCAGUCUAAUGUAAUACAUUUUUAUUAUUUGCA